CCCAGGUCCGCCUCAGCAAGGUGCCCGCGCCCACCUUCCAGCCCAAAAGGCCGGCGCGGAAGGGCAGCACAAAGGCAGCGGCCACCUGCGGAUACCCAAGUGGCCUUACGAGGUGGCCAAGGAGGAGAAACGAGAGGCGGAGGAGGCCGAGAAGAGGCGCCAGGCCAAGGCGCAGGAGAAGCGCCCGCCGCCCUGGAAGAAGAGGACGUGAGAGUCCGCGGGUGCUUGGCACGGGGUUUGAGGGCUGGGUGAAAAAUGGAUGUUUCUGAUACUGCCCAGCCACUACGGCACCACAACCCAUGCUCAUAGUCUCCCGGGAUGUGUAGAACGGCAAUGGCAGGACAGCAAACAACUGGCGAUUUCCCCAGGUCCCACGCUCUUGCGUGUGAGUAUGUUGGGUCCCUGUCCCCAGUGUGUUCCAGCCUUACCCGGGUGCACAGAGUACCCUGGGGCCAGCACAGGGCUUGUCCAGUGAUGCUCCUGGUGUUCACAAAACGGCUCCAGAGAUACCUGCAUUUUGAAAAGCCUGCCGAGCCAGCAAGUGUAGGGCAGGACCCGGAUUUCUUUGGCAAAUCUGAAGGUGAGAGGGCCACUUGCCUGCUGAGUAGAAGCUGCCUUUACCUGGCCAGUGUAUGCAACUUGAGAGAAAAUGACAGCUGCAUGGGGGGCUCUGGUGGGACUGGGAAGUCUGAUCUUCCGGGGAGCUGUAGAUAGUGAAUUUCAAGUUGACAGCUACCUUCUCAGGGAUUUAUAUAUAAAUAUAGUUAGAGGAAAAGCUAAAAUCUAUUUUACUAGUUUUUAGUGUUUGUGUAAAGUAAGCUUAAACUGGACAGAAUAAACAUUUCUCAGACAAUGUUGAUGCUACUGAUUACAAGUUAGAUGGCUGGAGCUUGCCCCUUGGUGGAGAAUUUCUCGGUGAUUGGAGACUGGGGACUCUGGCAGCAGAAGUGGCUUUAUGGUGGGUGUGAAGUUGCUUCUGCCCCUCUGAGUGGCCUCUCGUGGAUGUGAAUGCAUGUAUUGACACCAGUGAAAUCCACCUCCGUGUGCGUGGAGGUGGCUGAUGAGAACACAAGUGAGCCAGUCCUGGUUCUUCCCUCCAGAACCGGUCACUCCCAGUCUGACGUUGGAGCAUGUGAACUAAGAGUGACAUUUUUUUCUACUUGCUUCUGUGAAUAAAGUGUUCUACAGUCAGCCAGCACUAAACACCAGAAAGGAGGAGGGAACAGCGUGGAGCAAUUCAUCUGGAAUUACCUCGGUGUGCAGAGGCUGUCCCUUGGCUCCACUUGGGAUAAACAUUGUGAAACAUCGUGGGCCUCUUUCUUCUCAAGCUCCUCCUGACAGCCUCCUGGCAACACUAGAGGCCUCAAGACUAUAGAGAUCAGAAUUGC
Molecule: long non-coding RNA, 1388 nt
Filed under: Pan troglodytes (chimpanzee)
Lineage: Eukaryota; Metazoa; Chordata; Mammalia; Primates; Hominidae
Description: long non-coding RNA NONPTRT010200
Source: RNAcentral